CCUUCCCCUAAAAGCAUUGCAGGAGUGGCCUCUGUGUCACAUGUGUAUCAGUAGGUGGCAGAGAUGAGAGAGGCAAUGUCUACAUUCAGUGUUCUGACCUAUGGACACCUGAAUGAUUAGUAGCCUAACAUU
This is a small nucleolar RNA of Mastomys coucha (southern multimammate mouse), 132 nucleotides long. RefSeq annotates it as small nucleolar RNA SNORA17. Lineage: Eukaryota; Metazoa; Chordata; Mammalia; Rodentia; Muridae. The transcript has a single exon. The record is from RefSeq and is a predicted model, not a curated record.